Long non-coding RNA from Pseudomyrmex gracilis, 1600 nucleotides. RefSeq lists it as uncharacterized. The record is from RefSeq and is a predicted model, not a curated record. The transcript is spliced from 3 exons. Lineage: Eukaryota; Metazoa; Arthropoda; Insecta; Hymenoptera; Formicidae.
UAAAAUAUUUCUUAGACGUUCUGGAACAUGUCUCUUAGGGCACCUUCACAAACUAUGAAAAAGACAAUAUAUCACAGAAAAUAUCACAAGAUCAAUAAUAUACCCACACAAAGAAACAAAAGAAAACUAAUUAUAACAAAGAGAAACUGAAAUAUAACUGUAGUAUUUCUGCGAUCUAACAGUUGCGGAUUUAUUCAUUUAAACAUAAUUAUUAGUUAAAAAGGACGUUAUUACGCGUGAAAAUGGAGCGUGAUAUCCGACAUAUUCAACAUUUAUUACUGUUUUUCUUUGAUCAAACCAAACAAUGCAGUGAGGCUCAUCGUCUUAUUAGAAAAACUUAUCCUGAGUUUGCACCAUCGAAGUCGAUAUGCUACAGGUGGUUUGUCCAAUUCAAACGUGGCAAUUGUGACUUAACACUUUUAACCCUAGGUAGGAAAAAAAAGUUUCAAAAUGCAGACUUGCAGAAACUUAUAGAUGAAAAUCCAUGUAUGUCGCAAAGAGAAAUAAGUAGAAAAUUAAAUGUUGCACAAUCAACUGUUUGUACACAUUUAAAAGACAUGAAACAAUUCCAAAACCAAAGAAAUCAGGUUGACUUGGCUACUCAAAUACGUUGCACCACUUGCGUUACACUGCUGUCAAGACACAAUAAAGAAGAGCACUUUCUGGAUCAAGUUGUGACUGAAGGUGAAAUGUCAAUAAAGUUCGGUACUUUUACGCAAACGGAAACAAAUAGAAGUACUGAAAACGAAAUUACGCUCUGCAUUUGAUGGGAUACUAAAGGUGUUAUAUAUUACGAACUGCUACGACCACAUGAAAUUGUUAUCGACCGAUAUUCACAACAAUUAAACAAAUUAAAGGAAGCAUUGGACAGUAAACGACCGCAAGUAGCGAACUAUAGGCGUAAGGUAAUUCUGUUGCACGCAGUUUUUGCCCAGUUGAAUAUUCUGAAGUCCGUGAAAAAACAGAUACUGGAGUUUGGAUGGGAAGUUUUACCUUAUCCUGCUAAAUCGUUUGACAUUGAUCCAUCAGAACGUUUCUUGUUGUCACGAUUGCACUUAGAGACCGUACUUAAACAUACACAGUUUCAAACUUUUGAAGUAGUGAAAAAAGCGAUCGAUGGACGCAUUGAUUCAAUAAACGAUUGCCAAUCGAUUCUUAAAGAUCUUGGAAUUCCUUCAUUACCAGAAUUAUGGAAACGGUGUGUAGAUAAUAAGGGAAAACGUGUGACUGAAGUAUAAGGAACCAUGGCAACUUUUAACGUCAUUCUUGUCGAAUCAAAGUAUCUUGUUACAAUUUCCUAAGCUUGGUAAUCGCCAUAUUGCCUGAAAGGAAUACUUAUUCUUAACAUGUAGCAAGUAGCACUACAGCGAUCGUCACGCUUGUACUUGGCCGGUGUUUGAAAAUGGAGCUACGACGAUUCAAUACUACCGUCAGCGUGAUAUGUAUCGCCUUUUUAUAUUUUACGACAAAGGUCAAUUUGGUUGUAUAUUAGAUACUUUAUAUGUAUACUUCUCUUUGUGGUUUUCUGUGGCAAAAAUUAGUUUUUUUUUUUCACACAUCUUACUAUAUGUAGGUGAAACCAGUUUUCAUACAUUUUUCC